This 253-nucleotide ribosomal RNA is filed under the name uncultured bacterium. Its description in RNAcentral is "partial 16S ribosomal RNA". It matches the Rfam family "Bacterial small subunit ribosomal RNA", at positions 524 to 776 of the family's 1533-position model. The record is from RNAcentral.
GACGGAGGGGGCAAGCGUUGUCCGGACUCACUGGGCGUAAAGCGUGCGUAGGUGGUGCGAUGCGUCGGCGCUGAAAGCGCCCGGCUUAACUGGGCGACGGGCGACGAUACGAUCGCACUGGAGGCAGGGAGACGUUGGUGGAAUUCCGGGUGUAGUGGUGAAAUGCGUAGAGAUCCGGAGGAAUGCCGGUGGCGUAAGCGGCCAACGAGUCCUGACCUGACACUGAGGCACGAAAGCGUGGGGAGCAAACCGG